UAUCAACAUAUCUCUUAUAGUUUCAGCUAUAAUGCGAUUGACAGGUUGGCGAUAUGCGGCAUUUAUAGGAUCUUUCGUAUCAGCAAUUAGUAACAAAUGCGAGAACAAGCAGAAGCUCAGAUGGCAAAACGAAAAUAGUGGUAGUUUUAUCAUGAAACAUUUGCUGCAAGAAGUUUCAUACUUA
Molecule: long non-coding RNA, 184 nt
Organism: Osmia bicornis bicornis
Lineage: Eukaryota; Metazoa; Arthropoda; Insecta; Hymenoptera; Megachilidae
Exons: 4
Source: RefSeq, a predicted model, not a curated record